This 253-nucleotide ribosomal RNA is filed under the name uncultured bacterium. RNAcentral's name for it is "partial 16S ribosomal RNA". It matches the Rfam family "Bacterial small subunit ribosomal RNA", at positions 524 to 776 of the family's 1533-position model. The record is from RNAcentral.
UACGUAGGUGGCAAGCGUUGUCCGGAUUUACUGGGCGUAAAGAGCGCGCAGGCGGUCGAAUAAGUCGAAUGUGAAAGCCCCCGGCUUAACUGGGGAGGGUCACUCGAUACUGCUCGACUUGAAGGCAGGAGAGGGUAGUGGAAUUCCCGGUGUAGUGGUGAAAUGCGUAGAUAUCGGGAGGAACACCAGUGGCGAAGGCGACUUCCUGGCCUGUUCUUGACGCUGAGGCGCGAAAGCUAGGGGAGCAAACGGG